UAAACACAGUAUCGACGUUCUUGGGU
RNAcentral lists this small RNA (26 nucleotides) under Bombyx mori (domestic silkworm). RNAcentral's name for it is "ovarian small RNA-18102". The record is from RNAcentral. Lineage: Eukaryota; Metazoa; Arthropoda; Insecta; Lepidoptera; Bombycidae.